GGAUGCAGCACUAGUUGUUUCAGAUUUUAAACAAUUCUUCCAAAAUCAUUCUUCACAAUUGAUUCAAGAAGUAUUCGUUAACUUACAGGAAGUAAUAACAUAGUAGAGAAAAAUUUUCUAGCCCAGGUUGGCCAAAACAUCAUUUAAGGUAGUUACAGUUUCAGCAUAGUACUUCUGUGCUUCAGCACUGUUCUUGGUCUUUGCUGCAUGGUCCAGAUCACUAAUGGUCUUAAAGAGCUUUCCAGACAGAUCCUGGAGUUUUCCCUUCUGUUCUUUUGGCAUAGCAGAGAUAACAGUCUUAAGGUCAUAGCGAAGGUAUUCUGCUCUGAGACGAAGGUCAUUCUGGACGUAAGGCCAGGCCUUCUUGUCGAUGAAAUCCUUGACACUAACAAUCUCCUUGGCUGAAUCCUUAACUCUCUGGGCUGCCUCAGCUGGAGUCAACGGUUGAAGGUAAAACCUAUUCUUCAAUGGCAAACUGAAGUCCCUUGCCUCAUCUGAGUUCAAAGUUCCAGGCAAUCCACCCGAGGGAGGAGGUGGGGGGCCAACCUUAAUUGACCUGGCUUCAGCAAAAGCUGCUUUAGCAACGGAACCAGCUAGGCCAGCAGCAACAAGACCAAUCAUGGCUCUACGGCUAGUUUCGAUGUCAACAGACCCCUGUUGGGCUCUGACAGUGAGUCCUGGUCUAGACAAGGCAAUUCUGUUGGUGCUAACAGUACUCAAGCGGGCUGAGCCACUAAGCUGGAGGCUACCAUCCAAGACAGUUUGUGAAGAACCAAUUAGGCCACCCAUAGAAGCCAUAGCAUGAGCCAUUCCUCAGGACCUUUUUGUUUUGGUGAUAAAAUAAAAUGUUUCAGGUAAGACUUGAUUACAAAUGUUUGGGAAUUAUAAGUUAAUGUUUGUG
Molecule: unclassified non-coding RNA, 901 nt
Filed under: Hevea brasiliensis (rubber tree)
Lineage: Eukaryota; Viridiplantae; Streptophyta; Magnoliopsida; Malpighiales; Euphorbiaceae
Source: RNAcentral